UGUCAGUCAUUAAAAAGAAUUUACUAUGCUGUGGUUAGGUCAAACAUUGAUUAUGGAUGUUUAGUAUACAGUUCUGCAAACAAAACAAUACUUAAAAAGAUUGAGGUUGUUCAAAAUCAAGCUUUGCGAAUAUGUUGUGGUGCAUUUAGAUCAUCCCCGAUAGUUUCACUACAAGUUGAAAUGGGAGAACUGCCUAUAGAAAUGCGUAGGUUCCAGCUGAGACAAAGGUAUUUGUACGGUGUAAAGGGACAUCAGGAAAAUCAUCCAGUUAGAGCACUUUUGAAAGAUUGUUGGGAGUAUGAAUAUAAAGAAAUAACUAUCUUCGGUUAGGUAGUAAGGAAAGAGAUAAACAAUUUGGAGUUGAAAGAUCAUGUAAUAGCUCCUUCUGUGCCUAUACCAGCAAUUCCCCCUUGGCUGUUUCAAAUGCCUUCAAUAGAUUUACAAAUUCACAAAAUAUUGGAAAAUUUGGAGAUGAGCUUACCAACUGAUCUGGUAGUUCAACAGUAUAUUACACAAGAGUACUAUGCUGUACUACAGGUAUUCACUGAUGGAUCUAAGGAUCCAGAGUCUGAAAGAACGGCAGCAGCAGUAUAUAUUCCUGCUUUUAAGACAAACAUUGCAAAAAGACUAUCAGAUCAAGUGUCAGUUUUUACUACCGAACUUUUAGCUAUUAUAAUAGCUCUACAGUGGAUUGAAGAAGUCCAACCAGAAAGAACUGUGAUAUGUAGUGACUCAAUGGCUGCUCUCACUAGUCUAAAAAGUGGAAAAUCAGAAUCAAGGCAAGAUUUAAUAUUUGAAAUAUUACAAAGUCUGUUUAGAAUCAGGCAGUUAAGGAUGGAGGUACAUUUCCUUUGGGUGCCUGCUCAUGUGGGUGUGGAUGGUAAUGAAAUAGUAGAUUUGCUAGCAAAGAAAGCUUUAGAUCAUACACAAAUAGAUAUUAAGGUAGCUUUGAGUAAAACAGAAUUCAAGAGCGUGAUUUCAUUUGAAGUAAAUAAGAAAUGGCAAAAGAUGUGGAAUAAUGAAACUAAAGGAAGACAUCUCUUUCAGAUACAGGAGACGGUUGGAAAUGGGAGGAAGUGGAAUGGAAAUAGAAAGAAGGAUGUCAUUAUCUCAAGACUAAGAAUUGGACAUACAGCAUUAAACUAUAGUCUAUUUAAAAUAGGUAAACAUGAAUCGGGAGAAUGUGACAAAUGUGGAGAAUUAGAAACAGUAAUUCAUAUUAUUAAUGAGUGUUCUGCAUAUGAAAGGGAGAGAUUUCAGUUAAUACAAGAAUUAUGAUGUAUGGGAGUUGAAAAUAUUUCAUUAAAAGUAUUGUUAGGAAAAGAGGGUAGGCAAUCAAGAAUUCAAGAAGUACUAUUUAAAUAUUUGAAAAACAUAGGAAUAAUAAACAGAAUUUAGGUUUUAAAUAUUUUUUUUUUUUUAUAUAUUUUUUUUUUUUUUUGUAUUUCUUUCUUCCAAAUCUAUGCCCACUCCACACUCCAGAUCAGUAGGUGGCGGUAAUGCACCUUUUUCGUUGGUUUGCCAAACCGCCAUAAAACACCAGAAGAAGAAGAAGAAGAAGAAGAAGAAGAAGAAGAAGAAAGCUGUAGUUGUUCAGUGAGUUCAAUUCACUAAAGAUAUGUGGCAGGUAUCUUGGGAUUUAUGUAUGAAGGGAAGACAUUUUUAUAACAUAUAAGGUAAAUUAAAGCAAAGCAAUAUAAAUCAUAAUAUAAGUAGGAGGGAAUAUAUAAUAUUUACAAGAUUAAGAAUGGGACAUACUAGGCUCAAUGCAAAUAAUUACAUAAUAGGUAAACACAAUUCAGGUCUUUGUGAUGGGUGUCAGGAAUGGGAGACAGUGGAACAUGUUUUAAUGGCAUGUGUGAAAUACCAGCAGGAAAGAAUAUUGUACAUUAGAGAAGUUCAAGAAAUGGGGAUUACAGAAUUUACAAUGGGCAAUAUUUUAAAUGAAUGGACAUAUACGGGUAGGCUAAUAAGGGCAUUAAUGAGGUUUUUAAAAAACAUUGCGGUAAUUCAUAGAAUUGAAUCUGAGUCAUGCAGACUUUCCUUGUCACACUCCAGUACAGUAGGUGGCGGUAUGCACCUUUCAGUUGGUUUGCAACCCGCCAGUAAACCCACAAAAGAAGAAGAAGAAGAGUUCAAUUCACGAGGUGCAUGCGGUUGCUUGCGUUAAACGUAUAAACUGUUAAAUUAGAUGGCGACUCUGCAUUAAACGUAUAUCAGUGGGUGGCGGUAAAUGCACCCGAAAGUUGUUUGCCAACCGCCAAUAAAAUCAAGAGAAGAAGAAGAAGAAUUAAACGUAUUUAUUUAAUUAAUCGGCGAUCGUAUUUCACCAGAGGACUAAGAUAAAACAACUCGAUUUAAAAUGUGAGCAGUUUUAGUGGAUCUGACGUCGAGGGAAAAAGUAUUUCGCUUUUUGUUUGGAGAUGAACGAGACAACACGAGGCACAGCGACAUAAAUAUGACCAACCAGAUCCCAAGUAGACAGGAACAAAUGAAGAUAUAGCGCAUAGAAAGACUUAUUCUUGGUGAUCAACUGCUAUUGACAUUUUUGAAUCGGGACAAAUGUGGAGUGAUUCGGAAGAAAAACGUUUGCAACACAUCCAUUCCAGAGUGCUGUGACACAUAAACUGACACGCUUGAUGAGGACACAGUCAAAGCUUUAAAAGCCCGUGUGAUAAAGCAGUCUUCAAUUACUACGGUGUCUGAAUUGCAAGGAGAAAUGACCCUCCACUUAAACAUGUGACAUCUAAACUGUUUUGUGUUUUAGUUCAGCUUUUUAUAGGUUUAUCUUAAGUUGGUUAAAGGCGGAGUGCACUAUUUUUGAAAGCCAAUGUUAACAUUUGAAAUGACCUAAACAAACAUGCCUCUACCCCAAUAGAAUCUGGACCUUCUUUUGAUAGUCACCACACACAUACGCAACCCCGGCAAGGAUGUCAGUUAGUAGACACGCCCCUUACUGCUGGUUGGCUACAAGUGUGUUUUGGUAGUCGGCCCAAUUUCCUUUUCCAAAGCGUUUUUCAAACAUUGUGCACUCCGUCUUUAAAUUGCACUUAAACAUUUUUUUUUCAUUAACUUUUUAUGCAGAGAAUUACAUUAUGAUUAUUAUAUAAUCAUUGCUUAUGAAUAUUUAGUGAUUGCAUAUUCAUAGUGUACUUUUCAUUAAUACAUUUAAUGUUAAUGUUGUACAAUUUGAUAGAAGUA
Paramisgurnus dabryanus is the source of this 3201-nucleotide long non-coding RNA. RefSeq lists it as uncharacterized. The record is from RefSeq and is a predicted model, not a curated record. NCBI's taxonomy places the organism in Eukaryota, Metazoa, Chordata, Actinopteri, Cypriniformes, Cobitidae.